UUUGCCCUACGGGAGGCAGCAGUGAGGAAUAUUGGUCAAUGGACGCAAGUCUGAGCCAGUCAUGCCGCGUGCAGGAUGACGGCUCUAUGAGUUGUAAACUGCUUUUGUACGAGGGUAAACCCCGAUACGUGUAUCGGGUUGAAAGUAUCGUACGAAUAAGGAUCGGCUAACUCCGUGCCAGCAGCCGCGGUAAUACGGAGGUUCCGGGCGUUAUCCGGAUUUAUUGGGUUUAAAGGGUGCGUAGGUGGU
Molecule: ribosomal RNA, 249 nt
Filed under: uncultured bacterium
Lineage: Bacteria
Description: partial 16S ribosomal RNA
Rfam family: Bacterial small subunit ribosomal RNA
Source: RNAcentral